Non-coding RNA from Gossypium raimondii (Peruvian cotton), 87 nucleotides. NCBI's taxonomy places the organism in Eukaryota, Viridiplantae, Streptophyta, Magnoliopsida, Malvales, Malvaceae. The record is from Rfam.
CAUGUCAGUGCGAGUUGCUGACAUGGCAACAAAUCGCGUCCUAGAGGGAGCGAUUUGUUGCCAUGUGAGCAACUCGCGCUGACGUGG